Molecule: transfer-messenger RNA, 365 nt
Filed under: Paenibacillaceae
Lineage: Bacteria; Bacillati; Bacillota; Bacilli; Caryophanales
Also listed under: 1 other name
Description: Paenibacillus_D sp003851045 Standard tmRNA
Rfam family: transfer-messenger RNA
About the family: Bacterial tmRNA, also known as 10Sa RNA or SsrA, is named for its dual tRNA and mRNA-like properties.
Source: RNAcentral
GGGGGCGUUUCUGGAUUCGACGGGGAUAGUUCGAGCAUGGGUGGCGGGUAGUGGGGACGCGUCCGCUUCAUCAACGCUAAAGCCUAUUAAACGGCAAACAACAAACAAACUACGCUGUAGCAGCUUAAUAACCUGCACACGUGCUUCUACCUAGCAUCGUCCAUGUGCUAGGAUAGGGGCUCAACUUUAGUGGACUACGCUGUCACAUCUCCGCCUGGGGUGUGCUGAAGAAGACAAUCAGGCUGGGUCUAGCGAUAGCCGGUUACGGGGCGCUUGCUAGAUCGACAACAAAACUGUGACUACACCCGUAGAAGCACAUGCGCCGUUAUCUUCGGACAGGGGUUCAACUCCCCUCGCCUCCAUCU